CUGCAUAGCAUUACUGCGCAUGGAACUACUUUUUCUGUCAAAUUUGUUGUAUAACAUGAUGUUUUGGUGCUUAAUUUGUAUAAUGAUUACCUAAUUUGAUGUUUAAUCGGCUUUUCCUGAAUCCCUUCUUAUUAUCCAACAUUCACUUAUCCAACGUUCUGCUGGCCUGUUUAUGUUGGAUAAUAAGAAGGGAUUCAGGAAAAGCCAAUUAAACAUCAAAUUAGGUAAUCGUUAUACAAAUUAAGCACCAAAACAUCAUAUUAUACAACAAAUUUGACAGAAAAAGUAGUUCCAUGCGCAGUAAUGCUAUGUAGUAUUUACAGUAGAGUCUCACUUAUCCAACACUCGCUUAUCCAACGUUCUGGAUUAUCCAACGCAUUUUUGUAGUCAAUGCUUUCAAUAUAUCGUGAUAUUUUGGUGCUAAAUUCAUAAAUACAGUAAUUACUAUAUAGCAUUACUGUGUAUUGAACUACUUUUUCUGACAAAUUUGUUGUCUAACAUGAUGUUUUGGGGCUUAAUUUGUAAAAUCAUAACUUAAUUUGAUGUUUAAUAGGGUUAUCCUUAAUUCCUCAUUUUCCAACAUAUUCACUUAUCCAACGUUCUGCCGGCCCGUUUAUGUUGGAUAAGUGAGACUCUACUGUACUGUAUUUACAAAUUUACCACUAAAAUAUCACAAUGAAUUUAAAACACUGACUACAAAAGCAUUGAUUAUGGAAAGGCAGACUGCGUUGGAUAAUCCAGAACAUUGUAUAAGCGAAUGUUGGAUAAGUGAGAUUCUUCUUUAAUAUGAAAUAAUUACUGGGAUAGAGUAAUGCAGAACAAUAUAAUCUCUAAAACCAGGGACAGGAAAUAAACAGGGGAAUUCCAGACAGGAAACAGUCGGGGGCAGCUGAACACCUCCCAACAAAGUAUUCCCAUCAUCUGGCAAGGUCUGGCAAAUCCUGGUUUCUUAGGGCCACAGACAGUAGAAGCACAUAAAAUAUCGCAAACAACAUCACUCUAAAAACAAGGGAAUUCCAGACAGGAAACAAUCAGGGCCAGCUAACACCUCCCAACAAAGUAUUCCCCAUCAUCAAAGUCUGGAAAAUCCUCUGUUUUCUCAGGGCCACAGACAGUAGAAGCACAUAAAAUAUCGCAAACAACACCACUCUGAAAACAAGGGAAUUCCAGACAGGAAACAAUCAGGGCCAGCUAACACCUCCCAACAAAGUAUUCCCAUCAUCAAAGUCUGGAAAAUCCUCUGUUUUCUCAGGGCCACAGACAGUAGAAGCACAUAAAAUAUCACAAACAACACCACUCUGAAAACAAGGGAAUUCCAGACAGGAAACAAUCAGGGCCAGCUAACACCUCCCAACAAAAAAUUCACUCAGGGAGGAAACAGCCAGGCUUUAAAGCUGCAAGGCCAUUACAUCCUACUCAUUUUUCCUAAUUGCAGCAUUCAUACUUGCCUCCA
Molecule: long non-coding RNA, 1453 nt
Filed under: Anolis carolinensis (green anole)
Lineage: Eukaryota; Metazoa; Chordata; Lepidosauria; Squamata; Anolidae
Description: lncRNA (ENSACAG00000043253.1)
Source: RNAcentral